RNAcentral lists this ribosomal RNA (775 nucleotides) under uncultured Neocallimastigales. RNAcentral's name for it is "partial large subunit ribosomal RNA". It matches the Rfam family "Eukaryotic large subunit ribosomal RNA", at positions 24 to 649 of the family's 3401-position model. Lineage: Eukaryota; Fungi; Neocallimastigomycota; Neocallimastigomycetes; Neocallimastigales. The record is from RNAcentral.
GUAGUCUCGCACAGAUGCAUAUCAAUAAGCGGAGGAAAAGAAACUAACAAGGAUUCCCCUUAGUAACGGCGAGUGAAGCGGGAAGAGCUCAAAUUUGAAAUCUUAAAGGGUUUCCCUUUACGAAUUGUAGUUUAAAGAAGUGUUUUCUGUUGAGGUUUUGGUAGAAGUUCUUUGGAAUAGGACAUCAUAGAGGGUGAGAAUCCCGUAUUUGACCUUUACUUUCAACUUUGUGAUACACUUUCAAAGAGUCGGAUUGUUUGGGAAUGCAGUCCAAAAUGGGUGGUAAAUUUCAUCUAAAGCUAAAUAUUGGCGAGAGACCGAUAGCGAACAAGUACCGUGAGGGAAAGAUGAAAAGAACUUUGAAAAGAGAGUUAACCAGUACGUGAAAUUGUCAAAAGGGAAGCGUUUGACACCAGUGUUGUUGUUCUGAAAAUCAAUUAAAGAACUGUUUAUGCUAAGCUGUUUAGACUUUAUCAGCUAACUGUUUAGUUUUGAGCUUUUCUUUAAUGCACUUUUCAGUUAACAAGUCAACAUCAAUUUCUUUUGCUGUAAAAAAGCUUGAGGAAGGUGGCUUGAGAUUCGUCUUAAGUGUUUAUAGCCUCUUGCCUAUGCAGUCGGAGAGAUUGAGGUCUGCAGCGUAGAUCCUUCGGGGCUAAAUGCAUUUGUGCUAAGUUAUAGCAUUUUAUAGACAACUUGUUGACUAUGAUUUGUCUUGUAGCUUACUCGCUUAUGUUAUUUUACCUACGCUUAGGAUGUUGAGUAGCGACAUACGCAC